GCCGACCUCAACCCGCCCGCCGCCGCGGCCGACCUCAACCCGCCCGCCGCCGCGGCCGCACCUCUGCCCGCUCGCCGCCCCUGCCGUGCUCUCGACCGCAGCUUCUGGAUCAGCUCAGCGCAGCUGCUCGAGAGGCUGGGGACGACGCAUCUGCUCGGUGCAGAACGGCGGCGGCGGGAUCCAGUGGGCGCGGGAGAAUGAGGGAUCCGGCGCCGCGGGCGAAGUCCUUGCAGCUGGAGGCGGGCCUCCAUGGCUGGCAGGGAGAGCUCCAAGGUCAUGGCGGGGCUUUGAUUUUUCUGGUAGAAAAGAGAGACAGAGGAGGAUCCAAGGAGGAGGAGAGGUAGGAGAAGAAGGAAGGAUGCGGCAGGGUGCAGCGGUGUGAGGGCACUGGUCUCCCGCAUGAGGAGCGCCUCUCCUCGGGAGGAUCUGGAGGGAGUGAGUGAAACUCAAAUCCACUUCAGAGCAAGGUACUGUUGUAGAAGUACGAAGAAGCAAGCUGACCAGAUGUACAAGUAGUAGCCGGCAACGACGAUGAAACAAGCCAACCAGAUGUGCACGAAACGACCAUACAUCAUGCCUGAUUGAUCCUCUGUUCAUGAGCACUGGACAACCAGCACAAGAGCAAGGCCUUCUUCAAGCUAAAGCUGAAGAAAUGUUUACGCAAAGAACAUUCAUUUUCACAUCACUUGGGUGCUGGUUCAGGCUGAUGGGUGCAUCUCCAAACGAAGCAGAUAUCCACUAAGAAGAAACUCAUCUGAGUUCUCAAGUUGAAAUCAAAUUGGCCAGCUACGUUUCAAAGUAUGAGAUGUGGUUGGGCAAUAAACUGCAUCCCCUAUGCCAAGCCUACCGAGUUCACUAAAGCAACAAGCAGGGGAUCACCUUGAUGCAUAUCGCCAUCACAUUCAGACCCAAAGAUCUGGGAGCUGCAGUCUGGGCAUGAUUAACUGGGCAGUGCCAAAGUCAAGCUUCUGGAUGGUGGCGACAACAAUGGUGGCUGGAGGCGAUGGGGCUAGCAGCGUGGCAAACAGUAGCGCGCAGCGUUUCAUGGUAGGGCGUGUGGCCAGUGCUUGCGGCGGUUGUGGAUGAUGAAGUACUGGACCUGCGGUGGACGACCAUCCGCAAGAUCUACAUCAUCAUCUUUGGGUCAGUUUGCCAUGAAGGCCAUUCUGCGAACGAGGUUGUUCAUGUCCCUCCUCAUGUACAGUGGUACUUCUAUUCUAGGAUUUCAACUCUGCACUCCAUUCCGCAUCCUGAAUAUUCAGAGUCUCGAGUUUGCAUGAGUCUCGAUUUGAUUAAAUGAACAGGUCAGUAAGAUAGAUUUUUGGUCGAGGAUAGAUUUUUGAUUGUGUGUGGGAUGAGAGGGAAUACUUAUCGGGUUAGGGUCGUGACAUUUUUUUCUCCCAUUGCAACACACGGGCAUUUUUGCUAUUAAUUUUUUUAUUUUUUAAUAAUAAAGCACGGAUUGAUUCCG
Molecule: long non-coding RNA, 1471 nt
Organism: Triticum aestivum (bread wheat)
Lineage: Eukaryota; Viridiplantae; Streptophyta; Magnoliopsida; Poales; Poaceae
Exons: 4
Source: RefSeq, a predicted model, not a curated record